Molecule: small nuclear RNA, 107 nt
Organism: Octodon degus (degu)
Lineage: Eukaryota; Metazoa; Chordata; Mammalia; Rodentia; Octodontidae
Source: Ensembl
GUGCUCGCUUCGGCAGCACAUAUACUAAAACUAGAACGACACAGAGAAGAUUAGCAUGGACCGUGCACUAAGACAGUAACAUAUCCUAUGCUGUCUGCCUCAGUACU